RNA transcript from Panthera uncia (snow leopard), 2412 nucleotides. It is a transcript of the gene named solute carrier family 13 member 5, with no coding region annotated. NCBI's taxonomy places the organism in Eukaryota, Metazoa, Chordata, Mammalia, Carnivora, Felidae. The transcript is spliced from 9 exons. The record is from RefSeq and is a predicted model, not a curated record.
AGGAAAGGCUUGGAGAGCCGGCGGGUGCCCGGGCCUAGGACGCUCCCGGGCGGGGUUGGCGGGGUUGGGGGCCGGCGCGCCCCACCGACCCCGCGCGGUGGCCCCGCCCCUGGGGCCGCGGGGAGGCCCCGCCACGGGGGCGGGGUUGGCACUGCCCCCCCUCCCCUUCCCGCUGCGGCCCCUUCUUAAGCCCUCGGGUCGCUGGCUGCCGUCACUCGCCUCUCCCGCCGCCUCCCUCCUGCGUUAUGGCCUCGGCGGCGCGCAGCUAUGUCUCCAGGUUCAAGUCCUUCGUGAUCUUGUUCCUCACCCCGCUCCUGCUGCUGCCACUCGUCAUUCUGAUGCCCGCCAAGUUCGUCAGGUGUGCCUACGUCAUCAUCCUCAUGGCCGUGUACUGGUGCACGGAGGUCAUCCCCCUGGCCGUCACCUCCCUCAUGCCGGCCUUGCUCUUCCCGCUCUUGAAGAUUCUGGACUCCAAGCAGGUGUGUAUCCAGUACAUGAAGGACACCAACAUGCUGUUCUUGGGCGGCCUCAUCAUGGCCGUGGCCGUGGAGCGCUGGAAUCUGCACAAGAGGAUAGCCCUGCGCACGCUCCUGUGGGUGGGGGCCAAGCCAGCACAGCUGAUGCUGGGCUUCAUGGGCGUCACGGCCUUUCUCUCCAUGUGGAUCAGCAACACGGCCACCACGGCCAUGAUGGUGCCCAUCGUGGAGGCCAUGUUACAGCAGAUGGAGACCGCCGGCUCCGCCGAGGCCGGCCUGGGGGCCCUGGAGCUGGCAGACAAGGGCAGGGCCGGCCAGGUGCCAGGGAGCCAAGUGACGUUCGAAGGGCCCCCCGAGGGGCUGCGGGCCGACCGCGACCGGAGGAGCGUGCGCAAGGCCAUGACCCUGUGCGUGUGCUACGCGGCCAGCAUCGGAGGGACCGCCACACUGACAGGGACGGGGCCCAACGUGGUGCUCCUGGGCCAGAUGCACGAGUUGUUUCCGGACAGCAAAGACCUGGUGAACUUCGCCUCCUGGUUUGGCUUUGCCUUUCCCAACAUGCUGGUGAUGCUGUUGCUGGCCUGGCUGUGGCUCCAGUGCGUCUAUAUGAGGUUCAGUUUUAAGGCGUCCUGGGGCUGCGGGCUGGAGAGCAGGCAUCACGAGAAGGCCGUGUAUGAGCUGCUGUGGCAGGAGUACAGGAAGCUGGGGCCGUUCUCCUUCGCCGAGGCCAACGUCCUGCUCUGCUUCCUCCUGCUGGUCGGCCUGUGGUUCUCGCGGGACCCCGGCUUCAUGCCCGGCUGGGUGUCGCUGGCCUGGGAGGAGGGCGAGACAAAGUACGCGUCUGACGCCACCGUGGCCACCUUCGUGGCCACCUUGCUGUUCGUAGUGCCUUCGCAGAGGCCCCAGUUCAACUUCCGUGGCCAGACGGAGGAGGGUAAGGCCCCCGGGAGCGUGCGUCAGGCCUUCCCUGGGGACUGUUUUCUGCAAAUUCUUCUCUUGUGCCCUCCAGACGUUUGAAACCUUGGCAAUAUUAUAAGAGGACAGACAGACGUUUCCAAUUUCCCGCAAGGCCAUCUGUGCUUUUUCCGGUUUCUCUCCUCCGGUCUUUGCCGGGAUGCAUGUGUUACACGGGCCGCUCAGAUUCCGUUUCUCGGUUGUUUGGGUUUUCGUGUCUUUAUGGUGUGAUCACUCCCUGUUAACGCCACAGGCUUCGUGUCCAUUUUCUCUCAUUAUGGCAUCGUAGCGCAUGGAGGGGCGGAGCUGUUCUAUCUUGUGGAACGUUCUGGUCGUUUGGAAUUUUCCGUUGCUAUCAAUUAGUGUUUUCAGGUGCAUAGGUGUUUCUUCUUUUUGUAAAUUUUUUUUAAUGUUUUUAUUUAUUUUUGAGACAGAGAGAGACAGAGCGUGAGUGGGGGAGGGGCAGAGAGAGGGAGGCACAGAAUCGAAGCAGGCUCCAGGCUCCGGGCUGUCAGCACAGAGCCCGACGUGGGGCUUGAACCACGAACUGUGAGAUCAUGACCUGAGCCGACUGAGCCACCCAGGCACCCCUAGGUGUUUCUUCUUUAGGAUAAAUUUCCAGGAGUCGUGUUAUUGUAAGGGUAUAUAUGCCAAAUGGCUUUUCAAAAAGAUUGGGCCAAUGCGUAUGCUCCCCAGGAGUGGGUGACCGUGUUACCCAGCAUUUUUCACCAGCACUGGGUGUGGCGUCCAUUGUGAGUUUCAGCUGAUGUGAAACCUCGCUCUGGGAGGGCGUCCCUGGUCCACACGGGCUUUGAUUCCCCUGGAAUCGAUCUCUUUUGCUUCCCGCUGCUGCUCUGGCUUGUGUAUGUGUGUCUUUUGUUGUUUCUUCCCAGAAAGGAAAACUCCAUUUUAUCCCCCUGCGCUGCUGACCUGGAAGGUGACCCAGGAGAAAGUGCCCUGGGGCAUCGUGCUGCUGCUGGGG